UCCUAGCUCACUGGUACAACAUCUGCUUUGCAUGCAGAAGGUCACAGUUUCAAUUCCUGGCUGGGGAA
Podarcis lilfordi (Lilford's wall lizard) is the source of this 68-nucleotide non-coding RNA. The record is from the annotation of a GenBank genome assembly. NCBI's taxonomy places the organism in Eukaryota, Metazoa, Chordata, Lepidosauria, Squamata, Lacertidae.